UGAGCCGCCCCUUUCAGGUUUUCAACUUAGCAUGCGUUUGUCUUAAAUUUUGCCAAAGUCUCUCUUUCGAGUUUUCAACUUAGCAAACUUUUAUUUUUUUGCCUAAGCCACCCUUUUGGGUUUUCAACUUAACAAACUUUUAUUUUGCCAAAGUCUCCCUUUCAGGUUUUCAACUUAGUAAACUUUUAUUUUUUGCCUAAGCCACUCUUCAGGGUUUUCAACUUAACUUUUUC
This 233-nucleotide long non-coding RNA is filed under the name Ricinus communis (castor bean). RNAcentral describes it as "long non-coding RNA (RCOM_LNC001707)". The record is from RNAcentral. Lineage: Eukaryota; Viridiplantae; Streptophyta; Magnoliopsida; Malpighiales; Euphorbiaceae.